UUGUAGAAUAGGUUUAUGCAUGUUUGGUUGAGAUUGGAGGCAUAAAUGCAUAAGGGAGCUGAGUUUCUGCCAUUCUGGGAGAAACCAGGUUCGGCAGCCGAAGGAACUUUCGGCCGCCGAACAUGCUUGUGGAGGCAGCCUUCGGCUGCCGAAGCUUGCCCCCGAAAGGAGACUUUCGUCUCUGUCUGGCACUUUCGGCCGCCGAAGGUGCCGCCGAACAUGC
RNAcentral lists this long non-coding RNA (223 nucleotides) under Manihot esculenta (cassava). RNAcentral's name for it is "long non-coding RNA (MESC_LNC001985)". Lineage: Eukaryota; Viridiplantae; Streptophyta; Magnoliopsida; Malpighiales; Euphorbiaceae. The record is from RNAcentral.